RNAcentral lists this ribosomal RNA (2900 nucleotides) under Klebsiella pneumoniae. Its description in RNAcentral is "bacterial LSU rRNA". It matches the Rfam family "Bacterial large subunit ribosomal RNA". The record is from RNAcentral. Lineage: Bacteria; Pseudomonadati; Pseudomonadota; Gammaproteobacteria; Enterobacterales; Enterobacteriaceae.
UUAAGCGACUAAGCGUACACGGUGGAUGCCCUGGCAGUCAGAGGCGAUGAAGGACGUGCUAAUCUGCGAAAAGCGUCGGUAAGGUGAUAUGAACCGUUAUAACCGGCGAUGUCCGAAUGGGGAAACCCAGUGCAAUUCGUUGCACUAUCGUUAACUGAAUACAUAGGUUAACGAGGCGAACCGGGGGAACUGAAACAUCUAAGUACCCCGAGGAAAAGAAAUCAACCGAGAUUCCCCCAGUAGCGGCGAGCGAACGGGGAGCAGCCCAGAGUCUGAAUCAGCUUGUGUGUUAGUGGAACGGUCUGGAAAGUCCGACGGUACAGGGUGAUAGUCCCGUACACCAAAAUGCACAGGCUGUGAACUCGAAGAGUAGGGCGGGACACGUGGUAUCCUGUCUGAAUAUGGGGGGACCAUCCUCCAAGGCUAAAUACUCCUGACUGACCGAUAGUGAACCAGUACCGUGAGGGAAAGGCGAAAAGAACCCCGGCGAGGGGAGUGAAAAAGAACCUGAAACCGUGUACGUACAAGCAGUGGGAGCACCUUCGGGUGUGACUGCGUACCUUUUGUAUAAUGGGUCAGCGACUUAUAUUCUGUAGCAAGGUUAACCGUAUAGGGGAGCCGCAGGGAAACCGAGUCUUAACUGGGCGUUAAGUUGCAGGGUAUAGACCCGAAACCCGGUGAUCUAGCCAUGGGCAGGUUGAAGGUUGGGUAACACUAACUGGAGGACCGAACCGACUAAUGUUGAAAAAUUAGCGGAUGACUUGUGGCUGGGGGUGAAAGGCCAAUCAAACCGGGAGAUAGCUGGUUCUCCCCGAAAGCUAUUUAGGUAGCGCCUCGUGAAUUCAUCUUCGGGGGUAGAGCACUGUUUCGGCUAGGGGGUCAUCCCGACUUACCAACCCGAUGCAAACUACGAAUACCGAAGAAUGUUAUCACGGGAGACACACGGCGGGUGCUAACGUCCGUCGUGAAGAGGGAAACAACCCAGACCGCCAGCUAAGGUCCCAAAGUCAUGGUUAAGUGGGAAACGAUGUGGGAAGGCACAGACAGCCAGGAUGUUGGCUUAGAAGCAGCCAUCAUUUAAAGAAAGCGUAAUAGCUCACUGGUCGAGUCGGCCUGCGCGGAAGAUGUAACGGGGCUAAACCAUGCACCGAAGCUGCGGCAGCGACACUAUGUGUUGUUGGGUAGGGGAGCGUUCUGUAAGCCUGCGAAGGUGACCUGUGAGGGUUGCUGGAGGUAUCAGAAGUGCGAAUGCUGACAUAAGUAACGAUAAAGCGGGUGAAAAGCCCGCUCGCCGGAAGACCAAGGGUUCCUGUCCAACGUUAAUCGGGGCAGGGUGAGUCGACCCCUAAGGCGAGGCCGAAAGGCGUAGUCGAUGGGAAACAGGUUAAUAUUCCUGUACUUGGUGUUACUGCGAAGGGGGGACGGAGAAGGCUAUGUUAGCCGGGCGACGGUUGUCCCGGUUUAAGCAUGUAGGCUGGUUAUCCAGGCAAAUCCGGAUAAUCAAGGCUGAGGUGUGAUGACGAGGCACUACGGUGCUGAAGUAACAAAUGCCCUGCUUCCAGGAAAAGCCUCUAAGCAUCAGGUAACAUCAAAUCGUACCCCAAACCGACACAGGUGGUCAGGUAGAGAAUACCAAGGCGCUUGAGAGAACUCGGGUGAAGGAACUAGGCAAAAUGGUGCCGUAACUUCGGGAGAAGGCACGCUGGUGUGUAGGUGAAGCCCCUGCGGGUGGAGCUGAGACCAGUCGAAGAUACCAGCUGGCUGCAACUGUUUAUUAAAAACACAGCACUGUGCAAACACGAAAGUGGACGUAUACGGUGUGACGCCUGCCCGGUGCCGGAAGGUUAAUUGAUGGGGUUAUCCGUAAGGAGAAGCUCUUGAUCGAAGCCCCGGUAAACGGCGGCCGUAACUAUAACGGUCCUAAGGUAGCGAAAUUCCUUGUCGGGUAAGUUCCGACCUGCACGAAUGGCGUAAUGAUGGCCAGGCUGUCUCCACCCGAGACUCAGUGAAAUUGAACUCGCUGUGAAGAUGCAGUGUACCCGCGGCAAGACGGAAAGACCCCGUGAACCUUUACUAUAGCUUGACACUGAACAUUGAGCCUUGAUGUGUAGGAUAGGUGGGAGGCUUUGAAGCGUGGACGCCAGUCUGCGUGGAGCCAACCUUGAAAUACCACCCUUUAAUGUUUGAUGUUCUAACGUUGGCCCCUGACCGGGGUUGCGGACAGUGUCUGGUGGGUAGUUUGACUGGGGCGGUCUCCUCCCAAAGCGUAACGGAGGAGCACGAAGGUUAGCUAAUCCUGGUCGGACAUCAGGAGGUUAGUGCAAUGGCAUAAGCUAGCUUGACUGCGAGCGUGACGGCGCGAGCAGGUGCGAAAGCAGGUCAUAGUGAUCCGGUGGUUCUGAAUGGAAGGGCCAUCGCUCAACGGAUAAAAGGUACUCCGGGGAUAACAGGCUGAUACCGCCCAAGAGUUCAUAUCGACGGCGGUGUUUGGCACCUCGAUGUCGGCUCAUCACAUCCUGGGGCUGAAGUAGGUCCCAAGGGUAUGGCUGUUCGCCAUUUAAAGUGGUACGCGAGCUGGGUUUAGAACGUCGUGAGACAGUUCGGUCCCUAUCUGCCGUGGGCGCUGGAGAAUUGAGGGGGGCUGCUCCUAGUACGAGAGGACCGGAGUGGACGCAUCACUGGUGUUCGGGUUGUCAUGCCAAUGGCACUGCCCGGUAGCUAAAUGCGGAAGAGAUAAGUGCUGAAAGCAUCUAAGCACGAAACUUGCCCCGAGAUGAGUUCUCCCUGAGACUAUAAGUCUCCUGAAGGAACGUUAAAGACGAUGACGUUGAUAGGCCGGGUGUGUAAGCGCAGCGAUGCGUUGAGCUAACCGGUACUAAUGAACCGUGAGGCUUAACCUU